Long non-coding RNA from Chelonia mydas (Green sea turtle), 5572 nucleotides. RefSeq lists it as uncharacterized. The record is from RefSeq and is a predicted model, not a curated record. The transcript has 5 exons. Lineage: Eukaryota; Metazoa; Chordata; Testudines; Cheloniidae.
GCCUGGGUAUAUGGUGAAGGCCAAAACUAUAAUUGGGUUCAAAAAAGAAUUAGAUAAGUUCAUGGAGGACAGAUCCAUCAAUGGCUAUUAGCCAGGAUGUCAGGGACGUAAUCCCAUGCUUUGGAUGUCUGUAAGCCUCUGAUUGCUAGAUGCUGGGACUCGAUCACAGGAGAUGGAUCACUUGAUAAUUGCCCCUGUUCUGUUUAUUCCCUUUGAAGCAUCUGGCAUUGGCCGCUGUCGGAAGACAGGAUAUUGGGCUAGACGGACCAUUGGUCUGACCCAGUGCAGCCAUUCUUAUGUUCUUAAGGAAAAUAAAUCCUCUUUCUUCACAAAACAGAGGAUCUGGAAAACACAACAAGAUUGUAAACCCUCUGGAUAGUAGGAAUCCUGGAACUAGUAGAAUCUGGGAGCCUUAAGCAGAUUUCACAGAGGGACUUUACUUUUAAAUUUAGUUUGUAUUUGUUUUGAUAAUAAAACAUAGCAAUGAUUUUAAGAGCAUUAUUACAGGUCUCAAUACAGUUUCACAUGGGCCACAUAACACAAAGGUCUGAUAAAUGUAGCAGGAUCCAUUAAAAAAAUAAAAUGAAACAGGACUUUUAAACACAAUUUUUUUAUAGACUAGCUGUGAUGCAUCUAGCAGAAGUGUUGCUUUGUCCUGUGUUCUGUGGGUAAUUGUAAUAACUUCCAUUUACAUACGCACUCUAUUCUCCAAAGUGCAAUACAGACCAUAUUUAUAGGUAUUGUUUCACCUGGUACUGGAGUGUAGCCACCUUUGGAGAGGAAUACAGAAACACAAUCAACACUACAUAGCAGUUUAGCAUAGGAUGUGAAGAACAACAGAAUAGUUAAAACAGAAAGAGGAACUUAGGGCAGCAGAAUACAAUCACCCCCACUGGAAUUUGCCUCAGACACUGGAGCUACUCUUGGGAAAAGAGCCCUAGGAUCUUUAAUGUCUAUAAGUGGUCAGUAUCAUCUCACUUUUAUGUUUCGUCCAGCAGCACAUAUCCUUUAACAGAAUGCUGAGGCCUUGAUUCAGCACCAUCUCAGAGUAAAACAUAGCAUCUAGCGCCACCUGGGUUUUCCUUGGAGGUCUCAUAUCCAAGUACUAAUCAAGCCCAACCAUGAUUUGCUCGUGAGAGCUGAUGAGAUCUUGGCCCAUCUGAAGGCAUGAAGUGAAAAACUGCUUGAUUUUAUUUUGUUUUAAAGUUUGUCAAGCAAUUUGAUUUGUGAUUUGGAAAAAUGUUUGGGACAGUAUUCAGCUUGCUCAAACCUGUUUACACAUCCCUGUUACCUACCUACCUCAGAAACACAGAUCAGCACAGACCAGAAGAACACUGGAUCUGAACCCAAAAUUUUAUCUCAGAACCACUUUUAUAAAGUUGAUCCAAACUGUAACCCUGACUGCAAAGCCCCUUGAAGUUAGGGGCAGUUCAGAGCUGUACUUAGUACCCAUAAGAUGGUGUCUAACUGGAACACCAGAACCUGCCAGUGUUGUACUCUGAAAAAGUUUGGAUCGAAAUCAACGUUCAGGCUAAUCUCUUAUCAGAAAUACAGACAAAGUUAUGAAAAGAAUAGAAGUAGUUUCUCCUUUGGAACCAGACACUUUUUGAUGAUUGAUUCUGAUAGUCUUUUUUUUCUAAAAUGUCCCCGAUGGGUUAACUUACUAUACAGUAAAACCUCAAGCAAAAAUAAAAUCAAAUAAGUCAGUGCAGUUCUAAUUAUUUUUUCCAGCUGUCUUGAGGGAACAGGCAGCAUUUGCCUGCUGUCUUCUUUUAUUUGCAAUCACAGUUGAAAUCCAUAGCAACAUUAAUUAGAGGAGUCUGAAAAAAAUGUAUAAAUCUUUACUGGAAAAUUUUAAAACCUGAUAUUCCUAUGUAGGGAUGCUUUAUCUUUGCCUGACGACUGAAAUCAAAUAUGGUACUGUAUCCAUUUACUAUUUGAUACAACCUCUGUCAGGGGACUCUGUUCUACAUCUGCAGGGAGAUGGAAUCAAUUAUAUUUCUGUCUUUUCUGUUUCUAACUGCUAUGAACUUAUAUAUCGGAGGAGAGGUUGCCUUUUGUGCCUGCAGUCUAAUAUUUAUUGUUAAUAAUAAUAGGCCAAACCCCUUAUGCUUCACUAGCAUCUGUUUUGUCUUGCCUGGUUUCACCUUUGGCAGGACACAGCAAAACUCUCAGUGUUCAUGGGCAGAAAAUGAUGUAAUGUCCUUGUUGUGGUGGCAGUUGUUAGCAGUGGCAGCCCCACUAUCAUAGACAUCAAGAGGCAUCAAUCCAUUAAGCAACAUGCAAAUGUGAUUUGAGGAGUUUGCCCUUUACAUUCCAGAAGUUUCAUAUUUGCUGCUUGGUUUUCCCUACUUUGUUUCCCUAAGUGGUUUGCAGGUGAACUAUGGUUCUGUAUAUCUGGUACUACAGUCUGAACUCCUGGGGGAAUUCUCUGUUACUGUGCGCAUGCAUAAUUAAUGAGACGCACAUAUUUUUAUUUUUUUGUGCAGAAAAAAAACUUCUGCCAAUAUGUUGUUGUAGUUCCACCUUUUGUCCACCAGAGAGCACUGUGGCGCAAGAACAGCAGCAGCUCCCAGCAGAAAAUAACUUCUGCAGUUCUGCCUUUUGCCCAGCAGAGGGUGCUGUGGCAAUAGAACACAGCAGCAGCUCCUGGCCAGCGAGGGAAGAAAAAGAGCUUGCCUUCUUCCCAGCGUCUGUCAGGCCAGGGUGGAGAGAGGGGACAUGACUCUGAUGCAGUGAAUCCAAAGGGAAACUUUAUUCAGUCUUCUGGACACUGGUUCUUCCUUAUUUCCCUGAUUUGCUGAAAUAGCCUGCAGUGCCUACAGUCACCACAUGAAGUCUCCCUAAAUCUUGGCCAGAACCACUGGAAGCUCCUGGAUGGAAUAUCAGGCCUGUUCAGCUCUGCCACUGACUCACAGUGGAUUCCAGAUGACAAGAUUCCAUCAAGGAUUUCCCAAGGAACUGGCUAAAUCUCAGCAUUCUGACAAAUACUAAAGCACGCACUUACAAAAUAAAUACAUUCAUAUUUUUAAUAUGGGGAGGGGGACACAUCAAGGGUGAAAGCAAAGCAGCUGCAAAGGCACAAGGCCUCCAUAUAUAUAUGGCCCUGAACUCCUGCAGAUUCCCCAGGAUCCUUACAGAUCUCUGAGGAUCUGCUAAGUUUGAAGGCAGGGUUUGCAGCCAAUUCCAUGAGGGGCAAACCCUAACUCAAAACAAAAUGAUCAGGGAGGAAAUCUGCCAGAAGAUGUUGAUGGAGUUUUUCCAUACAUUGGGAUGAUCCUACAGCCCAGACAGUCAUUAUGGGAGAGCCUGCUGGUUCGCUGAAGGUUGAAAUGCAGCUGUUUUCUGCCGUUCUAUGAGCUUUGCUACUGUUUUAUUCAAUAUCUGUUCCUGGUCAAACAAUACCACGAACUAUGUCAUAUUGUAAAUAAAUAUAGAGUAGGAAGGAAUAAUCUGAUCCUGGGUCCACUGACUUCUCUCUCAAAUGAAGAAAACCCCGCUCCUAGAGUCCAUAUAUGUUCUGACCCCUCAGAAAUUGUGGCAGUAUGCAGAUACGUUCUAGUGUUGAAGGCAGUAUGUCCUAGUGGCUAGAGCACUGGACUGGCACUCAAGAGACCUGGGCUCCAUUCUAGUCCCAGCCCUGCCACUGGUUUGCUGGGUGACCUUGGGCAAAUCACUUCGCCUUCCUGUGCCUCGGUUUCCCCAAUUGGGUAAAAUGGGGAUCAUGAAGUUCUUUGAGAUCUGUGGAUAAAAACUACUGUAUCAGAGAUGGUGUAGUCCAGUGGUCACCAAUGUGGUGCCCGUGGGUGCCAUGAUGCCCGCCAGGGUAUUUAUGUGCACCCGCCAUCAGGGCUGGCGCCAAGGAACGAAGAGGAGAGGAGCGCUUCCAGCGGAGAAGCGUUGCCACUGAAAUGCCGCCGAGAAGUGUCACUGCCCGUCACACUCUUCUAAAGGCAUGAAUGUGCUCCUGGCCACAGAAAGGUUGUAGUCCUAUCAGAUGAUAACAUUCUUUCUGUUCCACUAAUAUCUCAGGAAGAUGUUAAGCAGCAGCUACUAAAGCUAGCCAUUUUAAAUCAGCAGAUCCAGAUAACUGGCAUCCAAGAAUUUUAAAAGAGCUGUCUGGGAAGCUCAUUGGACCAUUAAUGUUGAUUUUCAAUAAGUCGUGAAACACUAGGGAUGUUCCAGAAGACUGAAAAAAAGCUAAUGUCCUGGCAACAUUUAAAAAAGUAAACAGGACAACCCAGGUAAUUUUUGGCCUGCCUGUCUGACAUCAAUCCUGGGCAAGAUAAUGGAGCAUCUGAUAUGGGACUCAAUAAAAAAUUAAAUGAGGUUAAUAUAAUUAAUGCCUAUUGACAUUGGCUUAUGGAAAAGAGAUCCUGUCAAACUAUCUUGAUAUCUUCUUUAUGAGAUUACAAGUUUGGCUGAUAACUGCAUAGUGUUUAUAUAACAUACUUAGACUUUUGUAAGGCAUUUGACUUAGUGCUGCAUGAUAUUUUGAUUAAAAAACUAGAACAAUACAUGGUACACAUUAAAUUAAUUAAAAGCUGGCUAACUGAUAGUUCUCAAAAUGUAAUUGUAAAUGGGGAAUAAUCAUUGAACCGGUAUGUUUCUAAUGGAGUCCACAGGGAUCGGUUCUUGGCCCUAUGCUAUUGAAAGCUCUUCGCGCUGCAGCUCUGGGGCCAGAGAAACUCACUCUCCCUGCUGUGGCCUCCGAGCCAGAGGAGUUCUGCACCUCCGAUGCAGCCUCAGGGCCAGGGGAUCUCUCUGCCCCUUCCAUGGCCCCAGGGCUGGAGGAGCUGUCCUUCCCCCUCUCUUUUGGUAUAAUGAAUCCCUGGCUAUAAUGGCCAAAUGGCUUGGAUCCCCAGGGGUUCAUUAUAGAAAGGGUGUACUGUAUUUUCUCAUAACAUGUGUGUUUAACAUAGCGUGUGUUUAACAUGCCCCUCCAAAAGCAGUCAAAUUUACUUUCCUGCACAUGCCCCUGGAUGGGCCCUAUAUACACAAUUAAUAAAGUGUUUUCAAUAAGAAGAAAGGCACCAUGGAAAUGUAAGGUUACUGUUCUCUCAGAAUUCUUUCAGAAGUCUGAGCAAGACCUAAAAUCAGGUGCCAAUCCUGCAGGCUGAUCUGCCUGGGCAGGUGCUUGUGCUUGCACAAACCCUCACUUGAAUCCAACAUAUGCUCACCUGGAUCAGUUUACAGGGCUGUGGUAAAGAGAGCUAAUUGAAAUGACAGGGGCUGGAGGCUGAAUGGAACUGAAACACUUACAAAAAACUCAAAACCUAACCACGCAUAAGACAGAGAUAUUUGAGAUAAAACCCUUGAAAAUGUGGGAUGAGGUUUUAUAGAUUCACUAAAAUAGCUCAUCCUAUUGCUUUGCACGUAUGAAACUAUGAUGUUGAAUGGUAGUUUUAAUGAAGAAUUUUUCCUAAUAGGAUCAUUAAUCAUUUUUGGUAGAAAUGUGCAUGUAUUGAGACACUAAUGUGCCUUAGUUUAAAGCACGUUAUGUAAAUGCUGUUAAAAUACUUUCAGCUCAGUGUUUAUAUAUUAUGAUAUUAAACCUGUUUGUGAUGUUUUA